UGACCUCAUUGGGGGUAGGACAACCCGC
RNAcentral lists this ribosomal RNA (28 nucleotides) under Tulasnella sp. EE-2011. RNAcentral describes it as "partial 28S ribosomal RNA". Lineage: Eukaryota; Fungi; Basidiomycota; Agaricomycetes; Cantharellales; Tulasnellaceae. The record is from RNAcentral.